Long non-coding RNA from Homo sapiens (human), 3390 nucleotides. RefSeq lists it as uncharacterized. NCBI's taxonomy places the organism in Eukaryota, Metazoa, Chordata, Mammalia, Primates, Hominidae. The transcript has 2 exons. The record is from RefSeq and is a predicted model, not a curated record.
UCUGCUCAAAAAAAAAACAAAAAACAAAACAAAAAAAAAAAAAACAAAGCUUUGUGAGUGUGUGGUAGUUUAAUUUUACAGUGUUCCACUAUGGAGAACACAUGGAUUUUGUAUCUGAAGAUUUGGCUCAUGUACUAGCUGAUCUUAAGUCUCUCUAACUCUCAAUUUUCUAAUGUUUUAAAUGGGGUUUUUUCAACCAGAUGCCCAAACUUAAUCUAUAAGAUUUAUUUUUUAAAGGAAGGGGGAGGGCAGGGUAUUGAAAUAAUCUAGAAAAGCUAUUAUUUUAAAGCUAGAAUUUUUCAGUCUAGAGAAAGGUAAAAACUUGACUAUUCAUUGCAUUCACCCUUUGUUCUGGAAAAAAUACCCAACUGGGCCCUUUACAAAAAGUAAAACUUGUAGCUAAUCUGGAUCAUGAAGAGCACUUUGAGAAAACAUAACUGCAGAUAUUUCCAGCAGAGAAGCUAACUAGAUAUUCUGGUUAGUAAAGCAAUUAUUGUGAGUUUCUGAGCUUGUACUUCAUCUCCGCCUGCUUUGUUGCUUUUGAAUUUGAGGCAGUGUCUCUUUUCUUUCCAUAUGAAUCUAAAUGGAUUGGGCAGCCUUCUUGCUUGUGCAUGGGAAAAUAUGUAUUCUUGCCUGAGAAGGUACUGUCCAGAAAUCUGAAGCUGAGGCCCAGGAGAUGGCAGGGUGUUCCUUACUUGACACAGAAUGCCACAUCACCAGCCCAUACCUGAGCUGUGCUGUUUGCCUUAUUUCUCCAAGAAUAUAUGAGCUUCAGCCCCUUCCUCCAUUUUCCAGAAGUGCCAAAACAAAAAGGUCAACAAAGCUAACAGCUGAAGCAUCUCUAUGCUAGCAAUUUUCCCACGAAGUGGUUGAGAUGAGAUCUUGAACUAUUUUAACGCAAACAAAAUUCUUGUGUCCAAACUUCUAAAUCACUUUAAACAUUCUAUUCAAAGUUUUUCAACCCAAUGGUUUUUCUUUAUUCUGACUAAUUUUGUGAAAGGAGGGAAUGGAUAUUUUAUCAUAAGAGAGUGACUAGGCAUUCAAGAAGUGCUUGUGGAAUGAGGAGGAAUUAUUGAGUCCUUCCAGAAGUGAGCGAAGGGAGAGGUGACACUGUGUAGCACAGAUCUACUGACAAGAGCUCCUCAACAGGGUUUGAUGAUUCUGAUAGUCAUCUCCAUUUGGGUUAUGUUUAAGGGAUGUUCUCCUGGAAUCUGCCUGACACCUGUUUUUUUUUUCUUGUCUUAGUUCAGGCUACUAUACCAGAAUAUCAUAGACUGGAUGGCUUAAACAGCAAACAUUUAUUUCUUGCAGUUCUGGAGGCUAGGAAGUCUAAGAUCAAAGUGCUGGAAGAUAUGAUGUCUGGUGAGGGCCUGCUUCCUGGUUCAUAGAUGGUCAUCUUCUCACUGUGUCCUUACUUGGCAUAAAGAGGGCUAGAGAAUUCUCUGAAGUCUCUUUUAUAAGGGCACUAAUCCCAUUCCUGAAGGCUUCACCCUCAUGACCUAAUCACCUCCAAAGGUCUCACUUCUUAAUACCAUCAUAUUGGGGUUUAGGAUUUCACCAUAUGAAUUUGCAAGGCACACAGACAUUCAGUCCAUACAUUUCUAGUCCCUUUCUCCUGAGGUCAGUAUGUAUUAAAGGAGCAGAAUCUUACUCCUUUCCCCUUGGAAGGUAUGCUUCAGUGGAAAGGCGAAGAUCGCAGUAUUUUAGACAUCUCCAGAUAUUGUGUCCAUAAGAGGGAAGGCUGUCGGCAUGGGCAAUUUAAAUUAAUUUGUCUUUUCUUUUUAUGGACUUGCUAUGUCUACAAAAAGCAAACUUAUCAAGUUAAAUUAAAUAUAUGCCUUCAUUUAACAAAUAUGUAUUGAGGGCCUAUCUUAGACACUAUUCCAGGCGCUCAGAUACAGUAAUGAAUAAGACAAAGUCUCUGCCUUCCCAGAGUUUGUGUUCCAGCGGGGAUAGGGAGACAAUAACAAAUAGGUAGAUACACAGUAAGCCAGGUGGUAAAUGCAACAAGAGAAAAAUACAGCAAGUUAAGGAGGAUACGGAGUGUCAUUAUAUUUGUGGGAAGGGGUGUAACAUAUUGAUUUCUGUUUCAGAUAUCCAUUGCCACACAACAAAACACCCUAAAUCCUAUUGGUUAAAAAAUAUUAGCUUGGUGUGGUGGCAUGCACCUAUAGUCUCAGCUAGUCAGAAGGCUGAGGCAGGAAGAUUGCUUGAGCCCAGGACUUUGAGUUUACAGUGAGCUAUGACUGUGCCACUGCACUCCAGCCUGCGUGACAGAGUGAGACCCUGUCUCUAAAAUUAAAAAAAAAAAAAAAAAAACUUUAAGAAAAAAAUGUAUGAUCUUGUAGGUUCCCUGGGGUCUUUAAACAGUUGCGGUCAUAUGGCAAAUCGGGCCAGGGUUAUCUGAAUAAUUGAAUGGGCCGGACAUUCCAAACGGCUUUUUCAUUCACAUGGCUGGCCCCUCAGCUGGGAAGGCUGGAACAACUGGGGUCUGGCCAGGCAUCACUCUGUCUGCACAUGACCUUUCUAUGUGGCUAUCUUGGGCUUUCUCACAACAUGGUGGGAUUGAGUAGUCAGGCUUCUCCCAUGCCGGUGGCUUCUCCUGAAGCAAAUAUUCCAAAAACUCCAGGUGAAAACUGCAAGGCUUCUUAUGAUGUAGCCUUGGAAGUCAGGCAAGCAUCACCUCCACUACAUUCUAUUGGUCAAAACAAGUCACAGGGCUCACUAGAUUCAAGGAGAGAGGACUCUAUGAGGCUGAGAAUAUUGGAAGAUGUGGCUCAUUAAGGGGCCAUUUUUGGACACUAGCUACCACAGUUAUUAAAGGGAUGGCCUCACUGAUAAAGUGACAUUUGAGCGGAGAUAGAAGGGAAGCCAGGGAGAAGCCAUGUGGGUAUCUAGAAGAGAUCUCCUAGCAGGGUGAACAGCAAACACAAUGUCCUGAGGCAGAAGUAGUCGUAAUAUGUUUCUGAAAACAAGGAGACCAGUGUGGACAGAGUGAGAUUAGUGGAGAGAAGGAGAAGUCAUUCAGAUAGGGAAGGAGGGGUUAGAUGAUAUAUAGCCUUAUAAGCUUUUUAAGGACUUGAAAUUUUAUUUGGAGUGAUACGAGAAGCCAAUCCGUGAUAUUGAGCAGAAGGAUGAUACGACCUGACUUCUAUCUUUGUUUUUUAGGCUAGUCAUGUGAAGCCGUGGGAGUGGGGAAGGCUGACUUCUGUCUUAAAGGCUUACUCUGGAUCAUAAUGUUGAGUGAAGGCUGUCAGGAGACAAAGAGGAUAAAAUGAGAAGAUAGCAAUCUGCAAACCAAGAAGCAGACCCUCAUCAGACACUGGCACCUUGAUUUUGGACUUCCCAGCCUCCAGAACUGUGAGAAAUAAACAUUUGUUUUUUAAGCCA